This is a non-coding RNA of Phoenix dactylifera (date palm), 3038 nucleotides long. Lineage: Eukaryota; Viridiplantae; Streptophyta; Magnoliopsida; Arecales; Arecaceae. The record is from RefSeq and is a predicted model, not a curated record.
UUUCCGUUUCUCCCCCCCCCUCCCCUUUUUCUCGCGCUCUCGCUCUCGCUCUCGGGAGCGGUAUCAUGUCGGGAAUUUUCCGAUGGAAGAGGCUGAGAGAGCCUGCGGCUCGCGCCGCCGCCGCCGUCGCUUCCGCACCCAGCCGCCCGAUCUGUACCAACUCCGCCGCCCCUCACUCUGGCCGCCACCAUCGCCGCCCCCCCGGCAUCCCGCACGGGCAGGAGCGGCACAAGUGGGCCGGCGGCGCCGACGAGUUCCACACCCGCCGCAUCCGCGCCGAGGCCAACUGCCCCCGCUGCUCCAAGCAUAUGGACGUCCUCUUCUCUAACCGCUCCCCGCCCUCCAUCGCCGGCGCCGGCGACCGCGGCGGCUACCAGGCCCUCAACGUCUGCCCCAGCUGCAAGACCGCCUAUUACUUCCGCCCCCACAAGCUCGUCCCCCUCCAGGGCACCUUCGUCGAGAUCGGCCGCGUUCGGGGCGCUGACUCCGAGAGGGAGAGGCCCGCCGGCGCCGGGGAUGACGAGGAGCAGGGGAAUCGCUUAAAGACCUCCUUUUGGGAGGCGCUGCGGUCUUCAUACGGCGGGGAGCCGCCGGAGAACUGGCCUCCCAUGCCAGGCCUGCCGGAGGGUAAUGGAUUGGCGGUGCACACCCCGCCCGGGCCGCCGUUCCCGCCGAAUUUGAACGUGGUGAGGGUGGCCGGGCCCGGCGGGGGCGGGGGAGGAGAGGGGACCGGUGGUGGUGGUGGUGGAUUCGGGGGGAAGGACGGGUGGGGCGGGUCUAAUUUGGGGAAGGAUUUGCCCACGCCCAAGGAGAUCUGCAAGGGGCUCGAUAAGUACGUGAUCGGGCAAGAUCGUGCUAAAAAGGUGCUAUCUGUUGCUGUGUACAACCACUAUAAGAGAAUCCAUCAUGCAUCUUUACAGAAAGGAUCUGGAGCUGAUUCAGGGAACUUUGAGCCUGAAAAUGAUGAUGACGAUAAUGUAGAGUUAGACAAAAGCAAUGUGCUCUUGAUGGGCCCUACUGGCUCAGGGAAGACAUUACUUGCAAAGACAUUAGCUCGCUUUGUGAAUGUGCCAUUUGUUAUUGCAGAUGCAACAACACUGACACAGGCAGGCUAUGUUGGAGAGGAUGUUGAGUCAAUAUUAUACAAGUUGCUUACGGUUGCUGACUUCAAUGUGCAAGCAGCUCAACAAGGCAUAGUAUACAUUGAUGAAGUUGAUAAAAUAACUAAGAAGGCUGAGAGCCUAAAUAUCAGUAGAGAUGUAUCUGGUGAAGGUGUUCAGCAGGCAUUACUGAAAAUGCUAGAAGGAACUAUAGUCAAUGUUCCAGAGAAGGGAGCUCGAAAGCACCCUCGUGGUGACAAUAUACAGAUAGACACAAAAGAUAUUCUUUUUAUAUGUGGUGGAGCUUUUGUUGAUUUGGAAAAGACAAUUUCAGAAAGACGACAAGAUUCUUCUAUAGGCUUUGGAGCACCAGUGCGUGCAAACAUGAGAACUGGUGGGUUAACAAAUGCUGUAGUGACAUCAUCGUUGUUGGAAUCAGUUGAAAGUAGUGAUCUUAUGGCAUAUGGCCUCAUUCCGGAAUUUAUUGGACGCUUCCCAGUACUGGUUAGUUUGUCGGCGCUGAAUGAGGACCAACUUGUUCAGGUCUUGAUGGAGCCAAAGAAUGCCCUUGGCAAACAAUUCAAGAAAUUAUUUAGCAUGAACAAUGUUAAGCUAAAAUUUACGGACACUGCACUUAGGCUGAUUUCUCAAAAAGCAAUGGCCAAGAAUACCGGUGCUCGAGGUUUAAGAGCAAUAUUGGAAAAUAUUCUUACAGAAGCCAUGUAUGAGAUCCCAGAUGUAAAGACAGGUGAUGAGCGAAUAGAUGCAGUUGUGGUGGAUGAAGAGGCUGUUGGCUCUGUUGACAGACCAGGUUGUGGAGCUAAAAUUCUUUGUGGCGAUGGAGCUUUGGAAAAGUACCUUAAAGAAAAUAAGAUAAAGGAUCGAGAGGCAAUUAUUGAUGGGUCUGAGGGUGAACUGGAAGGAGAAUCUGAACUCUCAUCUAGAGCCAUGAGCAUAUAAGCAAACUAUAGAGCCUUACUCUUCUAAAUUUUGCUGUCAACUAGGGAUCUAAGACAAUUUAGUGUUGGGAAUGGCGAUAUUCUAUUCCACCAUGAAGAGCAAUUUUAUCUGCAAAUGUUGCAGCACAAAAAUGUGCAGUGCAUGCAGAAAUUGAUUGUUGACUCCAAAGUGCAUCAGAAGCAGUUACAGCAAGGAUACGAGACUAGUGAAAUGAAGAAUGACUUGAGCUUAAUUGUCUCUCAUAUUUAAAUGAACGGGAAACUACUCACAUUUCCCCAGGCAUGUUUGCCCAAGACCAGCUCCAGUCGACAUUUGCUUGGAUGCAUGGCAAUUGCAGUUGCUGAACCUAGGUCAGGUACUAAGCUUGGGAAACUAAUAGAUAGGAAUACUCAUCUCUCUCAUGGAUGGACAGGUUAUUUAUCUACUCUUUCCUAGCAUGCUGCUUCUCAAAGAUCCAAAUUUAGGCCACAGGGUACUGAAAUGUCAAUAUCUGAAUAUUUAGCUACGUUUUAAACCUAAACAAUUUCCAUAGGAUCAUGAUUUGGUUUUCUUGCACUUCCUUUAUAUCGUCUGAGAUGAACCAAUAUUUCGGCAUCAGGCACCCAUCAAGAUGGCCGAGAUACCAGAUUCACGAGCCUUGUUUUCAUAGCACGGAGGGUCUACAAGCCAACCACUUCAUGAGCAUUUCAGGCAAUGCCAAAAGAUCUAAUUGCUUAAGGGGCAUCUAUGAGAACUCUUCUGAAGGGAUGCAGAUGACUGAACUGAGCCAGGCAUGUAGCUGCUCAGGCUCCGCUAAAACUUGAGCUGUGAGGUCGCUCGGCUUCUAUGUCUUUGGUCUCUCUCUGCCCUUGCCCCUUUCUCUUGCUCUCUUUUUUCUUUCCGUGUUUCCUGUCAUGGGAUUUAGCUAAAAGUUGCUGGAUAAAGAUACUUAUAUUUUAGCAUCAGGGGGGGCCUUUGGCUUCAGUUUUGAUUUGGUUA